GACGAACGCUGGCGGCGUGCCUAAUACAUGCCAGUUGAGCGCUGAAGGUUGGUACUUGUACCAACUGGAUGAGCAGCGAACGGGUGAGUAACGCGUGGGGAAUCUGCCUUUGAGCGGGGGACAACAUUUGGAAACGAAUGCUAAUACCGCAUAAAAACUUUAAACACAAGUUUUAAGUUUGAAAGAUGCAAUUGCAUCACUCAAAGAUGAUCCCGCGUUGUAUUAGCUAGUUGGUGAGGUAAAGGCUCACCAAGGCGAUGAUACAUAGCCGACCUGAGAGGGUGAUCGGCCACAUUGGGAGUGAGACACGGCCCAAACUCCUACGGGAGGCAGCAGUAGGGAAUCUUCGGCAAUGGACGAGAGUCUGACCGAGCAACGCCGCGUGAGUGAAGAAGGUUGUCGGAUCGUAAAACUCUGUUGGUAGAGAAGAACGUUGGUGAGAGUGGAAAGCUCAUCAAGUGACGGUAACUACCCAGAAAGGGACGGCUAACUACGUG
This 497-nucleotide ribosomal RNA is filed under the name uncultured bacterium. Its description in RNAcentral is "partial 16S ribosomal RNA". It matches the Rfam family "Bacterial small subunit ribosomal RNA", at positions 28 to 507 of the family's 1533-position model. The record is from RNAcentral.